This is a non-coding RNA of Punica granatum (pomegranate), 830 nucleotides long. Lineage: Eukaryota; Viridiplantae; Streptophyta; Magnoliopsida; Myrtales; Lythraceae. The record is from RefSeq and is a predicted model, not a curated record.
CCUUUCCCUGUUACAAACAACCCUAAAACCCGACGAGAAGAACGCAAAACAGCAAAAAAAAAAAUCUUCCUGGAAAAAUUUUGGCCGUCUUUCAGUUUCAUGCUCUCCUCCUGCUUCCUUUCCUCCCUCCUUUCCUACUAUUAAACCUCGGCGACACUUCCUCAACUGGUCGGGAUUUGAAUUUGGUGGAGAGAGUUGAGAAAUUGGAGGAGGAUCUGAGAAGCUCUACAACAAUAAUACAGGGCUUGUCGCGGCAGCUCGAGAAGCUCGGGAUUAGGUUUCGGCUUACUCGGAAAGCAUUGAAAGAACCAAUAGCUGAGGAGCAGCAGCAGAAACAACUGGAGCUUAUUCUUGCAAUCGAAAAGACCAGUAAGCUUUGGGAUAGCCGGUAAGAGCCCAUUGAACACCGACAUACAAACGAAACUUUGGUUUCCACCAAGGAGGAUGGGAAACCAGUAGAGGUCCAUGAGACUUGAGCAUAAAUAACGACAGGGCCUAGAAUCUGAAGCUGAGGCAUCGAAGAUUUUGAGUAGCUGUUCCCCUGCACUGGAUCGAAUUGCUUGAUGCUUGCUUUCUUCUUCACUCUGUCAAGUUAGAUCUCCCUGUCCAGUCGAGAGCCAUAUGUCAAGGAAUCAUUUCUGCUUCAAGGUCUGUGAGUAAGAAUUCGAGGGAACUCGUGUAAGAGCAUGCCAUUAAGUAGUUGCGCCUACGGAGUCAGCUUCUCGGGCAAUAUUUGUCUGGCGAGCCAUUCAUUUCUAGGGGGACGGAAUCUUGUAACACUAAUGUUUCAAUUUGGUUCUGUUAUCAAUUUUACCCUUAUAUUCAUCGAA